CUGAAGGCAAGCUUCUCGGGAGCAGCGUAUGGCUACAAACACAUGCUGAUGGAAAGGAACCCUCAACUCUUCAAAUGGAGAUGAGGAAUGGAAUAGAGGUUCUUCCAAACUAAGCCUCCAAGAGGAACAGAGCAACAAACAGAGGACGCUGAGAGUGUCAGAAGGCCAGCAGAGCAGAAUGUCGCAGGAAGCAGCAAGGAAAGUGCCUCUGUACUCCGCCCAGCUCACAUCUACGUGAAGGACGCUUGCUCCACCUCCUGAUUUAUCAAAGCAAAAGAGAGAAAAGAUACACACACACCCCUACACACAUACCUUCCUCUCCCUCUCCAAAGCCAGAACACGCAUCGGACUCGGCUACUCUCACACAACAAAUCGGUGCCCGUACACACAAAAUUAUCCUCACACAUGAUCACCACCGGCAGCACCACUACAAAUAGCAACCACCGUUUACAGUACCUCUGCAAACAAGGGGAACGUCAAGAGGCUCUCUCAUUCCCGGCUAAGCCUUGAUCCGAAAGCGGUAUGCGUCUCCAAGGCGCCUCAGAACAUCGCCGCGUUGGUGCAAAGAGCACCCACACCGUUCUGUUUCCCUAGAAGAUCUUGCCCAGGGCCCGGGCCCGGGCCCAGCCAGAGCCGAGUCCUUGUGGCGGCCCUCCUCAAGCCACUGCAGCUCGCACCCGGAGCAAGACGGGCGCCCUUGGUCUCUAGGGCUUGUUACUAAAAACCCGAUGCGAGGACACUCGCCACGGGUCGGGCGCCUGCUCAGGUCACCGCAGCCAACAGAAAACGAGUGGCAAUGGCCGGCUAUACACUAGCAGGGAGUCGCAAGUUAAGGUCCAUGUGAUGAGGAUUCUGGAAUACUGCUUUGUUACCUUUAUCUGCUUGAUUUCAUACUGGAUGCGCUUGAUGGGGUUUCCAUAGAUGUCAUUACCGGAGUCCACCUCUUUUGCAGAGACAGCCUUCCCUCUGAUCAC
Molecule: long non-coding RNA, 974 nt
Organism: Rhineura floridana
Lineage: Eukaryota; Metazoa; Chordata; Lepidosauria; Squamata; Rhineuridae
Exons: 2
Source: RefSeq, a predicted model, not a curated record